ACGUAGGGGGCGAGCGUUAUCCGGAAUGAUUGGGCGUAAAGCGCGCGCAGGCGGCCGCUCAAGCGGGACCUCUAACCCCGGGGCUCAACCCCGGGCCGGGUCCCGAACUGGGCGGCUCGAGUGCGGUAGGGGAGAGCGGAAUUCCAAGUGUAGCGGUGAAAUGCGCAGAUAUUUGGAAGAACACCGAUGGCGAAGGCAGCUCUCUGGGCCGUCACUGACGCUGAGGCGCGAAAGCCGGGGGAGCGAACAG
Molecule: ribosomal RNA, 250 nt
Filed under: uncultured bacterium
Lineage: Bacteria
Also listed under: 1 other name
Description: partial 16S ribosomal RNA
Rfam family: Bacterial small subunit ribosomal RNA
Source: RNAcentral